GAAGAAAAAAUAAUCAAGUACGAGUCCGAUAAAAAAUGUUAGUCAGAAUCAACGGUGAUAAUAUGCGAUCUGACUAGCAUUUUUUAUCAGACUCGUACUUGCUUAUUUUUUAUCC
Non-coding RNA from Paramuricea clavata, 115 nucleotides. Lineage: Eukaryota; Metazoa; Cnidaria; Anthozoa; Malacalcyonacea; Plexauridae. The record is from the annotation of a GenBank genome assembly.